This 443-nucleotide ribosomal RNA is filed under the name uncultured bacterium. Its description in RNAcentral is "partial 16S ribosomal RNA". It matches the Rfam family "Bacterial small subunit ribosomal RNA", at positions 338 to 795 of the family's 1533-position model. The record is from RNAcentral.
CCUACGGGAGACAGCAGUGGGGAAUAUUGGGCAAUGGAGGAAACUCUGACCCAGCAACGCCGCGUGAAUGAUGAAGGUCUUCGGAUUGUAAAGUUCUUUUCUAAGGGAAGAAGAAAGUGACGGUACCUUAGGAAUAAGCCUCGGCUAACUACGUGCCAGCAGCCGCGGUAAUACGUAGGAGGCAAGCGUUAUCCGGAAUGACUGGGCGUAAAUGGUGCGUAGGUGGUUCAGCAAGUUAGUAGCGUAAUUCCGGAGCUCAACUUCGGCACUACUACUAAAACUGUUGGACUUGAGUGCAGGAGGGGCAACUGGAAUUUCUAGUGUAGCGGUGGAAUGCGUAGAUAUUAGGAAGAACACCGGUGGCGAAGGCGAGUUGCUGGACUGUAACUGACACUGAGGCACGAAAGCGUAGGGAGCAAACAGGAUUAGAUACCCCAGUAGUC